UAAGACGAACCGUCCUAACGUUGUUCGGAAUCACUGGGCUUAAAGGGCGCGUAGGCGGGUCAGCAAGUCUGGGGUGAAAUCUUUCGGCUUAACCGGAAAAGUGCCUUGGAUACUGCUGGUCUAGAGGGAGGUAGGGGCAUGUGGAACUUCCGGUGGAGCGGUGAAAUGCGUUGAUAUCGGAAGGAACGCCGGUGGCGAAAGCGACGUGCUGGAUCUCUUCUGACGCUGAGGCGCGAAAGCCAGGGGAGCAAACGGGAUUAGAUACCCCGGUAGUCCUGGCCCUAAACGAUGAGAACUAGGUUGCGGACUGAACAUGGGUUCGCAGCCGAAGCUAAAGUGCUAAGUUCUCCGCCUGGGGAGUAUGGUCGCAAGGCUG
Molecule: ribosomal RNA, 376 nt
Filed under: uncultured bacterium
Lineage: Bacteria
Description: bacterial SSU rRNA
Rfam family: Bacterial small subunit ribosomal RNA
Source: RNAcentral